AACGAACGCUGGCGGCAUGCCUAACACAUGCAAGUCGAACGAGACCUUCGGGUCUAGUGGCGCACGGGUGCGUAACGCGUGGGAAUCUGCCCCUCGGUUCGGAAUAACACAGAGAAAUUUGUGCUAAUACCGGAUAAUGACUUCGGUCCAAAGAUUUAUCGCCGAGGGAUGAGCCCGCGUAAGAUUAGCUUGUUGGUGGGGUAAUGGCCUACCAAGGCGACGAUCUUUAGCUGGUCUGAGAGGAUGAUCAGCCACACUGGGACUGAGACACGGCCCAGACUCCUACGGGAGGCAGCAGUGGGGAAUAUUGGACAAUGGGCGAAAGCCUGAUCCAGCAAUGCCGCGUGAGUGAUGAAGGCCUUAGGGUUGUAAAGCUCUUUUACCAGGGAUGAUAAUGACAGUACCUGGAGAAUAAGCUCCGGCUAACUCCGUGCCAGCAGCCGCGGUAAUAGUCACGUCGC
Molecule: ribosomal RNA, 461 nt
Filed under: uncultured bacterium
Lineage: Bacteria
Description: bacterial SSU rRNA
Rfam family: Bacterial small subunit ribosomal RNA
Source: RNAcentral